This 442-nucleotide ribosomal RNA is filed under the name uncultured bacterium. Its description in RNAcentral is "bacterial SSU rRNA". It matches the Rfam family "Bacterial small subunit ribosomal RNA", at positions 338 to 795 of the family's 1533-position model. The record is from RNAcentral.
CCUANGGGUGGCAGCAGUGAGGAAUAUUGCGCAAUGGGGGAAACCCUGACGCAGCGACGCCGCGUGGGUGAUGAAGGCCUUCGGGUCGUAAAACCCUUUUAGCAGGGACGAGUGAGGACGGUACCUGCUGAAUAAGUCUCGGCUAACUACGUGCCAGCAGCCGCGGUAAAACGUAGGAGGCGAGCGUUAUCCGGAUUCACUGGGCGUAAAGCGUGCGUAGGCGGUCGGGUAAGUCGGAUGUGAAAGCCCCUGGCUCAACUGGGGGAGGUCAUUCGAUACUGCUCGGCUUGAGGAUGAGAGAGGAGAGCGGAAUUCCCGGUGUAGCGGUGGAAUGCGUAGAGAUCGGGAGGAACACCAGCGGCGAAAGCGGCUCUCUGGCUCAUAUCUGACGCUGAGUGCACGACAGCGUGGGGAGCAAACGGGAUUAGAUACCCUGNUANUC